Molecule: ribosomal RNA, 301 nt
Filed under: uncultured bacterium
Lineage: Bacteria
Description: partial 16S ribosomal RNA
Rfam family: Bacterial small subunit ribosomal RNA
Source: RNAcentral
CAGCAGCCGCGGGAACACGUAGGGUGCGAGCGUUAAUCGGAAUUACUGGGCGUAAAGCGUGCGCAGGCGGUUAUAUAAGACAGUUGUGAAAUCCCCGGGCUCAACCUGGGAACUGCAUCUGUGACUGUAUAGCUAGAGUACGGUAGAGGGGGAUGGAAUUCCGCGUGUAGCAGUGAAAUGCGUAGAUAUGCGGAGGAACACCGAUGGCGAAGGCAAUCCCCUGGACCUGUACUGACGCUGAGGCACGAAAGCGUGGGGAGCAAACAGGAUUAGAUACCCCUGUAGUCCCUGUCUCUUAUAC